AUACUACUCCCUCCGUCCCAAAAUAAGUGUCUCAACUUUGUACUAGCUCUAGUACAAAGUUCUAUUAAGCUUGAGACACUUAUUUUGGGACGGAGGGAGUAUUUA
Molecule: non-coding RNA, 105 nt
Organism: Hordeum vulgare subsp. vulgare (domesticated barley)
Lineage: Eukaryota; Viridiplantae; Streptophyta; Magnoliopsida; Poales; Poaceae
Source: Rfam